This 73-nucleotide transfer RNA is filed under the name Phrynosoma platyrhinos (Desert horned lizard). RNAcentral's name for it is "tRNA-OTHER". The record is from RNAcentral. Lineage: Eukaryota; Metazoa; Chordata; Lepidosauria; Squamata; Phrynosomatidae.
GCCCAGUGUGGCAUAAUAGUUUGAGUGUUGGACUACAACUCUGGAGACCAGGGUUCGAUUCCCAGUUUGGCCA